UUACGAUUGUUUGUCUUCCGGGUCCUAAUUACUUUA
Molecule: small RNA, 36 nt
Filed under: Arabidopsis thaliana (thale cress)
Lineage: Eukaryota; Viridiplantae; Streptophyta; Magnoliopsida; Brassicales; Brassicaceae
Description: ATSL095840
Source: RNAcentral